ACGCUCGACACCUACGGGAGCCAGCAGUGGGGAAUAUUGCACAAUGGGGGAAACCCUGAUGCAGCGACGCCGCGUGAGCGAAGAAGUAUUUCGGUAUGUAAAGCUCUAUCAGCAGGGAAGAAACUGACGGUACCUGACUAAGAAGCACCGGCUAAAUACGUGCCAACAGCCGCGGUAAUCUGAGCGGGCUGGCAAGGC
This 198-nucleotide ribosomal RNA is filed under the name uncultured bacterium. RNAcentral's name for it is "partial 16S ribosomal RNA". It matches the Rfam family "Bacterial small subunit ribosomal RNA", at positions 328 to 539 of the family's 1533-position model. The record is from RNAcentral.